AAUGUCAUCUCUGAAGGUAAUUGAAGAAGAAAGCUUUUUCUCCGCAACAAGCUUAUAUAAACUACACAUAUCUCAUACUGGAAUACGAGACUUACCCGACAUAUCAAAGACCUCCAUGAGAGAAAUGUAUCUCGUGAACAACAAAAUCCGUUUCUUUUCCCACAAUUACACGAAACAAGUGUUGCCUGCGUCAAUAGAAAG
This is a long non-coding RNA of Gigantopelta aegis, 201 nucleotides long. RefSeq lists it as uncharacterized. The transcript is spliced from 3 exons. The record is from RefSeq and is a predicted model, not a curated record. Lineage: Eukaryota; Metazoa; Mollusca; Gastropoda; Neomphalida; Peltospiridae.